Molecule: ribosomal RNA, 994 nt
Filed under: uncultured bacterium
Lineage: Bacteria
Description: bacterial SSU rRNA
Rfam family: Bacterial small subunit ribosomal RNA
Source: RNAcentral
UAUCAUGCAAGUCGAGCGAACUGAUUGGAAGCUUGCUUCUAUGACGUUAGCGGCGGACGGGUGAGUAACACGUGGGCAACCUGCCUGUAAGACUGGGAUAACUUCGGGAAACCGAAGCUAAUACCGGAUAGGAUCUUCUCCUUCAUGGGAGAUGAUUGAAAGAUGGUUUCGGCUAUCACUUACAGAUGGGCCCGCGGUGCAUUAGCUAGUUGGUGAGGUAACGGCUCACCAAGGCAACGAUGCAUAGCCGACCUGAGAGGGUGAUCGGCCACACUGGGACUGAGACACGGCCCAGACUCCUACGGGAGGCAGCAGUAGGGAAUCUUCCGCAAUGGACGAAAGUCUGACGGAGCAACGCCGCGUGAGUGAUGAAGGCUUUCGGGUCGUAAAACUCUGUUGUUAGGGAAGAACAAGUACAAGAGUAACUGCUUGUACCUUGACGGUACCUAACCAGAAAGCCACGGCUAACUACGUGCCAGCAGCCGCGGUAAUACGUAGGUGGCAAGCGUUAUCCGGAAUUAUUGGGCGUAAAGCGCGCGCAGGCGGUUUCUUAAGUCUGAUGUGAAAGCCCACGGCUCAACCGUGGAGGGUCAUUGGAAACUGGGGAACUUGAGUGCAGAAGAGAAAAGCGGAAUUCCACGUGUAGCGGUGAAAUGCGUAGAGAUGUGGAGGAACACCAGUGGCGAAGGCGGCUUUUUGGUCUGUAACUGACGCUGAGGCGCGAAAGCGUGGGGAGCAAACAGGAUUAGAUACCCUGGUAGUCCACGCCGUAAACGAUGAGUGCUAAGUGUUAGAGGGUUUCCGCCCUUUAGUGCUGCAGCUAACGCAUUAAGCACUCCGCCUGGGGAGUACGGUCGCAAGACUGAAACUCAAAGGAAAUUGACGGGGGCCCGCACAAGCGUGGAACCAUGUGGUUUAAUUCGAACCACCCCGAAGAACCUUACCAGGUCUUGACAUCCUCUGACAACUCUUAGAGAUAGACGUUUCCCCUUCG